UGUCAGUGGAACUGAACCAUUGUAUGGAGAUUGGUGGAGGACGGGACGAACAUAUGGUCCCCCAAAAUAGACUUGGGUAGAAGAAUUGAUAAAAAUAAUUCUAAAGAACCAACACACCAGCAUUAAGGAACCAGAGCUCACUGGACGCAAUAUAUUGCAUUGUGAACACAUACAAACUAUGAAUGGAGAAGAGAAUUGGUUGCUUACUUGCUAUGGCUAAUGUGGGGAGAGAAUAGGUUGCUUACUGGCUAUUGCUAGGAAGGGGAUUAGAAUGGGUUGCUUACUGGCUAUUGCUUAGAAGGGGAUGAGAAUGGGUUGUUUACUGGCUAUUGCUUAGAAGGGGAUGAGAAUGGGUUGUUUACUGGCUAUUGCUUAGAAGGGGAUGAGAAUGGGUUGUUUACUGGCUAUUGCUGAGAAGGGGAUGAGAAUGGGUUGUUUACUGAGAAUAGGUUGUUUACUGGCUAUUGCUUAGAAGGGGAUGAGAAUGGGUUGUUUACUGGCUAUUGCUUAGAAGGGGAUGAGAAUGGGUUGUUUACUGGCUAUUGCUAGGAAGGGGAUGAGAAUGGUUUGCUUACUGGCUAUUGCUUAGAAGGGGAUAAGAAUGGGUUGUUUACUGAGAAUAGGUUGUUUACUGGCUAUUGCUUAGAAGGGGAUGAGAAUGGGUUGUUUACUGGCUAUUGCUGAGAAGGGGAUGAGAAUGGGUUGUUUACUGGCUAUUGCUUAGAAGGGGAUGAGAAUGGGUUGUUUACUUGCUAUUGCUGAGAAGGGGAUGAGAAUGGGUUGUUUACUGGCUAUUGCUGAGAAGGGGAUGAGAAUGCGUUGUUUACUUGCUAUGGCUGAGAAGGGGAUGAGAAUGGGUUGUUUACUGGCUAUUGCUGAGAAGGGGAUGAGAAUGGGUUGUUUACUGAGAAUAGGUUGUUUACUGGCUAUUGCUUAGAAGGGGAUGAGAAUGGGUUGUUUACUGGCUAUUGCUGAGAAGGGGAUGAGAAUGGGUUGUUUACUGAGAAUAGGUUGUUUACUGGCUAUUGCUUAGAAGGGGAUGAGAAUGGGUUGUUUACUGGCUAUUGCUUAGAAGGGGAUGAGAAUGGGUUGUUUACUGGCUAUUGCUAGGAAGGGGAUGAGAAUGGUUUGCUUACUGGCUAUUGCUUAGAAGGGGAUAAGAAUGGGUUGUUUACUGAGAAUAGGUUGUUUACUGGCUAUUGCUUAGAAGGGGAUGAGAAUGGGUUGAUUACUUGCUUGGACAUUUCUCAAUACAAACGUAGACAGUGUUGAAAGACUCUGGCCUCUAAGUGUACUUACCAAGUUGGUCUCACUUGUGAAUGAACUCCCUUGACCAUAUUAUUUCCCUUCUGCCCAGCCCUUACUGUAAUUUGUUGCAGGGUAGAGAUAUACACUUGUGAAGGAACUCCCUGGACCAUAUUAUUUUGCCUUCUGCCCAGACCUUACUGUAAAGUGUGGCAGGGUAGAGAUAUACACCAUUAUCCCAUGCUUGCUGACUAAUGAAAAUGUGAUUAUUUGAAGCCUACUGAGCCCCAUAAGGUCCAGGUUAGAAUAGGUCUUCAGCAACCCUUGCUUGUCGUAAAAGGCGACUAUGCUUGUUGUAAGAGGCGACUAAAGGUAUCAGGUGGUCAAGCUCGCUGACUCUGUUGAUGCAUGUCAUCGUAUCCUAUUUGUGUGGAUCGAUGCUCAUGCUGUCAACCACUGGAUUGUCUGGACCACCAUCAUACACAGGGAUGAGAAUCUUCCGCGGUUCCGCAAAUUUUAGUGAACACAAACCUAUUGUCAUGAACCACCUAUCAACCUCCCCAAGUUAUGGACCACGCUCCAUUGAAAAGAAAUUUCAGCUGAAAAGGAAAAUAUCCAUUCUGAUCCCUGCAUAUGGCUGGAAUAUUGCUGAGUGCGGCGUUAAACAGCAAACAAUCUAGCCUGCUGAAGUUAGUUGCUCAUGCUGUCACCCACUAGUUGUCUGUCGCAGAAUCAUUUUUUAACAGAUUGGCUAUUGCUGACUGUGAUGUUAAGGAACUUAAGACUGACUUCCUUGU
This is a long non-coding RNA of Haliotis rufescens (red abalone), 2042 nucleotides long. RefSeq lists it as uncharacterized. The transcript is spliced from 3 exons. The record is from RefSeq and is a predicted model, not a curated record. NCBI's taxonomy places the organism in Eukaryota, Metazoa, Mollusca, Gastropoda, Lepetellida, Haliotidae.